GGAAUUUUCCGCAAUGGGCGAAAGCCUGACGCAGCCAUGCCGCGUGUGUGAAGAAGGCCUUCGGGUUGUAAAGCACUUUCAAUUGGGAGGAAAGCUGUGACGUUACCUUUAGAAGAAGCACCGGCUAACUCCGUGCCAGCAGCCGCGGUAAUACAGAGGAUGCAAGCGUUACCCGGAAUCACUGGGCAUAAAGCGUCUGUAGGUGGUUUGGUAAGUCGACUGUUAAAUCGUAGAGCUUAACUCUAUAUCGGCAGUCGAAACUACUUCGCUUGAGUGUGGUAGGGGCAGAGGGAAUUCCCGGUGUAGCGGUGAAAUGCGUAGAUAUCGGGAAGAACACCAGUGGCGAAGGCGCUCUGCUGGGCCAUAACUGACGCUCAUGGACGAAAGCCAGGGGAGCGAAAGGGAUUAGAUACCCCAGUAGUC
Molecule: ribosomal RNA, 423 nt
Filed under: uncultured eukaryotic phytoplankton
Lineage: Eukaryota
Description: bacterial SSU rRNA
Rfam family: Bacterial small subunit ribosomal RNA
Source: RNAcentral